RNAcentral lists this long non-coding RNA (209 nucleotides) under Elaeis guineensis (African oil palm). RNAcentral describes it as "long non-coding RNA (EGUI_LNC000798)". The record is from RNAcentral. Lineage: Eukaryota; Viridiplantae; Streptophyta; Magnoliopsida; Arecales; Arecaceae.
AGAGAAGUUCCAGAAAAAACCCAUAUGCACCAUUUUGUAAUAAACUUCAGCACCUUCUAAUUUUCGUAGCUCCGACCCCACUCAACUCUAAUAAACACCAACUUUAUCUUUUGACUUGUUUUAUAAAAAUAUAAUUCCCGGCCCAAGAAUUUGGGUUUGGUCAGCCUAACUAAACCCACUCAGGUAGCUGUUGAAAUUUUGAGCACCAC